CAGAGCCUACGGGAGGCAGCAGUGAGGAAUAUUGGUCAAUGGGCGGGAGCCUGAACCAGCCACGCCGCGUGAAGGAAGAAGGCGCCAAGCGUCGUAACCUUCUUUUGUCGGGGAACAAAGGGCGCCACGUGUGGCGUUGUGAGUGUACCCGAAGAAAAAGCAUCGGCUAACUCCGUGCCAGCAGCCGCGGUAAUACGGAGGAUGCGAGCGUUAUCCGGAUUUAUUGGGUUUAAAGGGUGCGUAGGCGGUCCGGAAAGUCAGCGAUAAAAGCCCGGGGCUCAACCCCGGCGAGCCGUUGAAACUGC
This 305-nucleotide ribosomal RNA is filed under the name uncultured bacterium. RNAcentral describes it as "bacterial SSU rRNA". It matches the Rfam family "Bacterial small subunit ribosomal RNA", at positions 332 to 636 of the family's 1533-position model. The record is from RNAcentral.